AGGACGAACGCUUGCGACGUGCCUAAGAAAUGCAAGUCGAACGGACAGUAGCAAUACUGUUAGUGGCGAACGGUCGCGUAACACGUGGGCAACCUGCCCUGAAGCGGGGGACAACAACUCGAAAGAGUUGCUAAUACCGCAUGUGAAUCGCUGUGGCAUCACAGAGGAUUCAAAGCCGCAAGGCACUUCAGGAUGGGCCCGCGGCCUAUCAGCUAGUUGGUGAGGUAACGGCCCACCAAGGCUUCGACGGGUAGCUGGUCUGAGAGGACGAUCAGCCGGAUUGGGACUGAGAUACGGCCCAGACUCCUACGGGGGGCAGGCAAUUAGGAAUCUUGCACAAUGGGCGAAAGCCUGAUGCAGCGACGUCGCGUGAAGGAUGAAAUCUUUCGGGAUGUAAACUUCUUUUUCAGCCAUGAAACAAUGACAGUAGCUGAAGAAUAAGCCCCGGAUAACUACGUGCCAGCAGCCGCGGU
Molecule: ribosomal RNA, 473 nt
Filed under: uncultured bacterium
Lineage: Bacteria
Description: SSU rRNA
Rfam family: Bacterial small subunit ribosomal RNA
Source: RNAcentral